CGAGUUGCCAGGCCUUGCACGAUGAGAAGCUGCCCUUCCCCCCAUGGGCUGAUAACUAGCCUGCAGGAGGCAAGAACAGCUACAUUACAGCCCAAGCAAGAAUGUUUUGGGUGGCAGCUCUGUCUUUAUGGAAAAUCCUGCCAAAGGACAAGAGGACAGACAGUACCUUCUCUUCUUCAAUUCAGAGUAAUAUGUAAGGCAGAGAAAUACAGGAAGGUGACCUUGUUGGUGACCUUGAGACAGCACUUGAAAAGCUACAGGGGGAGUUCCGUGCCAUGCGGAUCAGGCCCUUACAGUAUUUUAACAUCACUAUAGAAGGGCAACAGCAAACUCGUGGAGGCCACAAGUUCACCAUCAUAUUUAGUUUGGCCCUCAUAGUCAGAAAACCACUGGAUGAACUACACCUCACUGGCUGUGGCCAUUCAAGAAACAGCCUAAUUCAAGUCAACAAGAACAAAGCAGCCUCAUAAUCUGACUACACAUAAAAUAUGACUGAUAUUAUUAUAAACGGCCUGAAAGUAUACACACACAUUGCUUUCCCACCCACCCAUUCCCAUUCCCCCAAGUAUAAAGAUCUACUUUUAGCUUUUAAUUUUUUAAUGGGAAAAAGGAAGUUUGCUCGUCACACAAUUCAGCAGCCAAGGUCAAGAGCUGCUUAUUCCUGCAGGUGUUGGGUGACAACCUGAUGAUCUAUUUCUGCUCCAGCUGUACAAAAUAUGGCUCUCUUGUGAAAUCAAAAAUCCCAAGAAAAGGCCAAAGGUCAGAAUGUUCUUGGAACCACUGUCAAGAAAAUGGAGAUAAAUACACACAAUUCCUGUCCCAUUAUCUUGAUACAAAAAGGUUUCUCUGCCUUUUCCCCAAAUCCCUGAAGGAUGCCGAUGCUUAAAGAAAUAAAUUUUAGACUACAUUUUAAUAGGUCUCCAGAUAUUAGCACUUUUCGUUUUAUAUAAAAGAGGAUUAUCCAGUUGUGGGAAGAAUUUGUGUUUAUCACUAUUCCACAAUAGCGGAAGAGUUUCAGGAGUUCAGCUCUAUGCGUACCACAAUCCCACGACACCACAGGGAAAAGCAAGGAACGGAAUCCAGCUUCUCCCAAGGACAACAGUUUUCGAUUCUUACAGCAAGGUUCUAGUUCUUAUGCUUGCAAGAAUAUGAUCACAAGUAUACGGGCAACACCAAUGUUAUGAAGUCUGUCUAUACAGCAUAACAAGAAACUACUUAAAUUUAUUAUUUUAAACUUCAAUAACUAGAGCCCAUCAGAUAUAUGAAACCUAUUCUGAGCAUACAGAAUAUUUGUACUGUCAUGUGUGCACAUACCCAUGCCAUUAAUGUAUUCUCUGAACUGAUAUAUUGAUCUGAUCUGCUUACUAUAUUGAUCUACUGUAUGCUCAGUUUGUGCUUUGUAAGGUAGCCACAUGCCAUUCUUGGCUUGCCUGAAAACGAAAGUACUAAUGCUGAUUUCACAGAGAAAGUAACCAGCCUGUUAUCUCUGAAAGUAUGCUCAAUGACCUUGCAGCUGUAAUGUAACUCUUCAUAGGGGAAAGAGGGAGUUUUGAUUCCUUGUAAUCUUCUGCCUUUCUCUGUCCAGACAAAGCUAUUGUGUUCUCAUGGAACUUUUUAGGAUUUUCGUGCUUAAAUGCUAACUGCUCCAAGGGAGGGGGAAUAGUGCUCCUUAUAUCAAUAGUGCAUAUGCUUGUAUCCUCAUUCCUGCCAACCUAUCCCAUCUAUGGAUGUACCCAUGAACUUAAUGGCUCUCUGAAUAAAGACCUU
Long non-coding RNA from Eublepharis macularius, 1767 nucleotides. RefSeq lists it as uncharacterized. NCBI's taxonomy places the organism in Eukaryota, Metazoa, Chordata, Lepidosauria, Squamata, Eublepharidae. The transcript is spliced from 3 exons. The record is from RefSeq and is a predicted model, not a curated record.